Parus major (Great Tit) is the source of this 1595-nucleotide long non-coding RNA. NCBI's taxonomy places the organism in Eukaryota, Metazoa, Chordata, Aves, Passeriformes, Paridae. The record is from Ensembl.
GGGAUGCCGUGCCGGGGCUGCAGAAUUCCCUUCCCUCUCCCUUGCAGCCCAUUCCAGGCCCGUUCCCCCCGGGCAGCAGAGGGAUGUGGGCAGGCGGCGGGACCCGGGACCAGCUCCAGCACCUGGCACGAAGCCACCAAGGAGGAAAAAGCCACCAAGCAGGAGUGACACCACUGCCAGCACCAGGGCAGAAAAACAGCCCCACAAAAGCAGAAAGCAGCGGGCUCACUCCCCUCCAGUGCUUCAGAUUCCUGGGAGGAACCCUGAGCCAGCCCAAAACACUGCAGAGGGGAACCAGGAGGAUGCAAAAACAAAGAAGGCUGGAGCAUCAGCUUGCAGUAUUUUGGGUUCCAGUGGGGCAGAGGAAGGUCUCUGCACUCAGCUGAGCGAAAGCCUGAGGUGGGAUGGGAUUCUGGAGGAUCCUGAGGCAGAGAAGGAAAGGCUGUGUGUUUACAGAGUGAACAGGAGGAAAAGGUAUGAAUUGUAUAUCCAGGAGCACUUCCCAGCUGCCAGGAAUUCCCCACCCCUCCAUGGCAGCAGCAGGUAAAGGAGAUUCAUUUUUUGGAAGAACAAGUGUGAACUGAAUGCUGAAGGAGCCUCUGAGCUGCACCAGGGGUGUCACCCAAAAUCCCAACAAUUUCUGUGUCCUAGCAGUGCUUACUCACUGUCUGUGUGGAGGAGAGGACAUUUAUAUUUUACAAAGCAAACCAAGCUGUUAAAAUACACACAGACAAUUAGAAGUGCUCCUUUCCACAUUGUGUGUUUGUCCUGGAACUUCACUAAUUAUUGCUGUUGGUUUAUUGCCAAAUAAUGCUCCUCAACUUUCCAGGUAUUCACGUUGGAGAUCUGUGAGCAAAUUAAGGACAACACCUUGUUUAGAGGCUGAAAUGAUUUCCAGGAACGUGAACUUACCUUCCUUGAAACUCCUCGAGCUGCAAAGUCAGGAUGGGGAUCCAAUCCUCACCUCCUGCCUUUUGUUCUAAUUGUUAGGCUGAGUGUUUUAUUUUGUUACAAAAAUCCAUUAUCUCAGACCCUCAGAUGUGACAUUCUGGAGAAGCACACAUGAAAGGGAAACAGCACAUCCAGAACAACAGGGUUUCCUUGGAAUGGUGGGUGCUAAUUAGAAGCUCAUUGGGCCAAUAUGAAUUAAAAUCACAUGGAACAGCCUUGUACUCCCCUACUUUAAUUUUUUAUAGUAAAAGAAUGUUUUUCAUACAGAGUGUCAUGACAAGACUUAAGGAGAACAGCCCAGCCCUCACGACAGGAAGGAUUUGAAAGUUGGGUGACAUCUGAAACUCUCCCCCAGCUGCCCUGAAAGACACUGUGCUGACUUUUAAAGUUUUUUUUCUUAAUGGCUUUUUAAAUAGCCCCUUUUAUACAGAACUGAUGUUUAUGUGUGGCUUUUCUCCUGUUUAAUACUUCAAAACUCCAGGAUACCCAAAAGCUCUCAGAGCCUUUUGCUGGAAGCAGCAGUUUUGGAGCAGCUCCACGGCUCCCCAGACCCCAAUAAUGUCAUUACAUGCAACUCCAGAGCUUCCACAAGCACAGAACCAGAUGAACAAUAAAAAGUAAGGAAAAAAAAUAAAAAAAUCCCA